Molecule: ribosomal RNA, 497 nt
Filed under: uncultured bacterium
Lineage: Bacteria
Description: partial 16S ribosomal RNA
Rfam family: Bacterial small subunit ribosomal RNA
Source: RNAcentral
GAUGAACGCUGGCGGCGUGCCUAAUACAUGCAAGUCGAGCGAACGGACGAGGAGCUUGCUUCUCUGAUGUUAGCGGCGGACGGGUGAGUAACACGUGGAUAACCUACCUAUAAGACUGGGAUAACUUCGGGAAACCGGAGCUAAUACCGGAUGAUAUAUUGAACCGCAUGGUUCAAAAGUGAAAGACGGUCUUGCUGUCACUUAUAGAUGGAUCCGCGCUGCAUUAGCUAGUUGGUAAGGUAACGGCUUACCAAGGCAACGAUGCAUAGCCGACCUGAGAGGGUGAUCGGCCACACUGGAACUGAGACACGGUCCAGACUCCUACGGGAGGCAGCAGUAGGGAAUCUUCCGCAAUGGGCGAAAGCCUGACGGAACAACGCCGCGUGAGUGAUGAAGGUCUUCGGAUCGUAAAACUCUGUUAUUAGGGAAGAACAUAUGUGUAAGUAACUGUGCACAUCUUGACGGUACCUAAUCAGAAAGCCACGGCUAACUACGUG